GGAGCUGUGCCUGAACUUUAAGGAUCACUUUGAUAGAGUGAACCAUGUGGGUUAAACCCCCUCCAGCUUCU
This 71-nucleotide transfer RNA is filed under the name Uranoscopus cognatus. Its description in RNAcentral is "tRNA-Ile". Lineage: Eukaryota; Metazoa; Chordata; Actinopteri; Uranoscopiformes; Uranoscopidae. The record is from RNAcentral.